CCUACGGGGGGCUGCAGUGGGGAAUAUUGGACAAUGGGGGCAACCCUGAUCCAGCCAUGCCGCGUGUGUGAAGAAGGCCCUCGGGUUGUAAAGCACUUUCAGUGAGGAAGAACGCCUGGUGGUUAAUACCCAUCAGGAAAGACAUCACUCACAGAAGAAGCACCGGCUAACUCCGUGCCAGCAGCCGCGGUAAUACGGAGGGUGCGAGCGUUAAUCGGAAUUACUGGGUGUAAAGCGCGCGUAGGUGGCUUGAUAAGCCGGUUGUGAAAGCCCCGGGCUCAACCUGGGAACGGCAUCCGGAACUGUCAAGCUAGAGUGCAGGAGAGGAAGGUAGAAUUCCCGGUGUAGCGGUGAAAUGCGUAGAGAUCGGGAGGAAUACCAGUGGCGAAGGCGGCCUUCUGGACUGACACUGACACUGAGGUGCGAAAGCGUGGGUAGCAAACAGGAUUAGAUACCCCGGUAGUC
RNAcentral lists this ribosomal RNA (465 nucleotides) under Vreelandella stevensii. RNAcentral describes it as "partial 16S ribosomal RNA". It matches the Rfam family "Bacterial small subunit ribosomal RNA", at positions 338 to 795 of the family's 1533-position model. Lineage: Bacteria; Pseudomonadati; Pseudomonadota; Gammaproteobacteria; Oceanospirillales; Halomonadaceae. The record is from RNAcentral.